UGAAUCAAAACUUUCAACAACGGAUCUCUUGGUUCUGGCAUCGAUGAAGAACGCAGCGAAAUGCGAUAAGUAAUGUGAAUUGCAGAAUUCAGUGAAUCAUCGAAUCUUUGAACGCACAUUGCGCCCGCCAGUAUUCUGGCGGGCAUGCCUGUCCGAGCG
Molecule: ribosomal RNA, 159 nt
Filed under: Trichoderma virens
Lineage: Eukaryota; Fungi; Ascomycota; Sordariomycetes; Hypocreales; Hypocreaceae
Description: 5.8S ribosomal RNA
Rfam family: 5.8S ribosomal RNA
About the family: 5.8S ribosomal RNA (5.8S rRNA) is a component of the large subunit of the eukaryotic ribosome. It is transcribed by RNA polymerase I as part of the 45S precursor that also contains 18S and 28S rRNA.
Source: RNAcentral